CAGUAGCCGCGGGAAUACGUAGGGUGCAAGCGCUAAUCGGAAUUACUGGGCGUAAAGCGUGCGCAGGCGGUUCGUUAAGACAGAUGUGAAAUCCCCGGGCUUAACCUGGGAACUGCAUUUGUGACUGGCGGGCUAGAGUAUGGCAGAGGGGGGUAGAAUUCCACGUGUAGCAGUGAAAUGCGUAGAGAUGUGGAGGAAUACCGAUGGCGAAGGCAAUCCCCUGGGCCUGCACUGACGCUCAUGCACGAAAGCGUGGGGAGCAAACAGGAUUAGAUACCCGGGUAGUCCCUGUCUCUUAUAC
This 301-nucleotide ribosomal RNA is filed under the name uncultured bacterium. RNAcentral's name for it is "partial 16S ribosomal RNA". It matches the Rfam family "Bacterial small subunit ribosomal RNA", at positions 509 to 807 of the family's 1533-position model. The record is from RNAcentral.